This 1350-nucleotide long non-coding RNA is filed under the name Ursus thibetanus thibetanus. RNAcentral's name for it is "lncRNA (ENSUTTG00000012870.1)". Lineage: Eukaryota; Metazoa; Chordata; Mammalia; Carnivora; Ursidae. The record is from RNAcentral.
UCGAUCGGCCAGGAACACUCCGACGGCUCAUCACACCGGCUGUUAGAAAUUAAGAUUCACCCCACAAACACCCCCGCGGCCCACAACACUGGAGCCUGGACUGCAACGACUUCAACAGGCGCCCCUCAUUCGGGGUUUCGUGAUGCAGAGUGGAAGACCGAAACGCUUCAAAGUCUGGCGAACAAAGUACCCACCUACGCAGGAUCCAUCACCGCGGCCGCCGCCAUCACAAUCAGGACCACACGGAGCCGUGGAGUCCCAGGUGGGGAUCCACGCACCACCGUCGCUUGGCCCUGGCCAGGGAGCCUUCGCGGGCGCUGCCACCGCCAAGCCUCUCUGCAAUGGGCACAGGGUCUCCUCCCGUGCCUUCCCGCUUUCCUCACUCUGAACCAAACCAGUGUUCCCAAAGCUCCGCUCCGAGGGUUCCACCAGGAGCGGACAAAAUGUCCGCCGCGAGGAAGACGCCGGAAGUCCCGCCCAGACGUCUUCCCCGGGCUUUUAAUAGCGCCGCCACCGCGCGGCGCAGAGAUUUCUGGGAAUAUGCCGCCUAUCUGAAAAGGACCAUUAUAAAUGCUUUUUGAUGUGCCAGGACUGGUGGCAGUAAAUGUGCAAAGGUGACCAUAUGCACCUGAUGAGGGAACGGAAGGCAAGCUGAAGACAAAGCAGAAGCUGACACCCUGCAACCCCCCCCCCCAUGGGAUGUAUGUGACAUUCCUCAGGCACUCAUGGCUGCCCUAAAGGACAAAGAAACAGUCCUUACUACCUAUAGCCCAUUGACAAGUCCUUGAAACAGGCACGGUGACAUUCCUCUAGGAACUCAGCUGCCUCGAUGUUAAUACUGUGCUAAGGGCAAAAGGCAGUCCUAGCCUGACCCCCUCCCCUCCACCAAGAUCCUGUAAGUCUACUUUAACGUAUAAAAAUUCCUUUGGAAACUUCCUUUAUCUCUAACCCCCAAGAUAUGUAUUGGCAAUCAUCCCCCAAGCAUAUGGCCCACUGAUAUACAUCUGAAGGGUCUCAUGACUCAGGUUUUAUUAGACAGUGAUAAAUGACCUUUUCCCAACAACAGUUAGCCCUCUCAAGGUCCUGGAAACCUUGCUUCCAAAAUUCCUUAGAGACUUAUGCUAUCCCUAACCCCCUCCCAGCUUGAGGUUAUAUAAUGGGCCAUCCCUCACAACCCUGGGGCAGCAGCUCUUUCUGCCCACGGGUCCUGUCCCCGUGCUUCAAUAAACCACCAUUUUGCACCAAAGACGCCUCAAGAAUUCUUUCUUGGUCGUCGGCUCCAGACUCAACCCCACUGAACCUCACGUAUAUUCACCCGUACCUCAUCAAACCCAGAAAUAAAGACUUAGA